Molecule: ribosomal RNA, 459 nt
Filed under: uncultured bacterium
Lineage: Bacteria
Description: bacterial SSU rRNA
Rfam family: Bacterial small subunit ribosomal RNA
Source: RNAcentral
AACGAACGCUGGCGGCAGGCCUAACACAUGCAAGUCGAGCGCCCCAGCGAUGGGGAGCGGCGGACGGGUGAGUAACGCGUGGGAACGUGCCUCUUGCUACGGAAUAGCCUCGGGAAACUGGGAGUAAUACCGUAUGUGCCCUACGGGGGAAAGAUUUAUCGGCAAGAGAUCGGCCCGCGUUGGAUUAGGUAGUUGGUGGGGUAAUGGCCUACCAAGCCGACGAUCUAUAGCUGGUUUGAGAGGAUGAUCAGCCACACUGGGACUGAGACACGGCCCAGACUCCUACGGGAGGCAGCAGUGGGGAAUCUUAGACAAUGGGCGCAAGCCUGAUCUAGCCAUGCCGCGUGAGCGAUGAAGGCCUUAGGGUUGUAAAGCUCUUUCAGUGGGGAAGAUAAUGACUGUACCCACAGAAGAAGCCCCGGCUAACUCCGUGCCAGCAGCCGCGGUAAAGUCUGUACU